GUGUGACUGCGUACCUUUUGUAUAAUGGGUCAGCGACUUAUAUUCUGUAGCAAGGUUAACCGAAUAGGGGAGCCGAAGGGAAACCGAGUCUUAACUGGGCGUUAAGUUGCAGGGUAUAGACCCGAAACCCGGUGAUCUAGCCAUGGGCAGGUUGAAGGUUGGGUAACACUAACUGGAGGACCGAACCGACUAAUGUUGAAAAAUUAGCGGAUGACUUGUGGCUGGGGGUGAAAGGCCAAUCAAACCGGGAGAUAGCUGGUUCUCCCCGAAAGCUAUUUAGGUAGCGCCUCGUGAAUUCAUCUCCGGGGGUAGAGCACUGUUUCGGCAAGGGGGUCAUCCCGACUUACCAACCCGAUGCAAACUGCGAAUACCGGAGAAUGUUAUCACGGGAGACACACGGCGGGUGCUAACGUCCGUCGUGAAGAGGGAAACAACCCAGACCGCCAGCUAAGGUCCCAAAGUCAUGGUUAAGUGGGAAACGAUGUGGGAAGGCCCAGACAGCCAGGAUGUUGGCUUAGAAGCAGCCAUCAUUUAAAGAAAGCGUAAUAGCUCACUGGUCGAGUCGGCCUGCGCGGAAGAUGUAACGGGGCUAAACCAUGCACCGAAGCUGCGGCAGCGACGCUUAUGCGUUGUUGGGUAGGGGAGCGUUCUGUAAGCCUGCGAAGGUGUGCUGUGAGGCAUGCUGGAGGUAUCAGAAGUGCGAAUGCUGACAUAAGUAACGAUAAAGCGGGUGAAAAGCCCGCUCGCCGGAAGACCAAGGGUUCCUGUCCAACGUUAAUCGGGGCAGGGUGAGUCGACCCCUAAGGCGAGGCCGAAAGGCGUAGUCGAUGGGAAACAGGUUAAUAUUCCUGUACUUGGUGUUACUGCGAAGGGGGGACGGAGAAGGCUAUGUUGGCCGGGCGACGGUUGUCCCGGUUUAAGCGUGUAGGCUGGUUUUCCAGGCAAAUCCGGAAAAUCAAGGCUGAGGCGUGAUGACGAGGCACUACGGUGCUGAAGCAACAAAUGCCCUGCUUCCAGGAAAAGCCUCUAAGCAUCAGGUAACAUCAAAUCGUACCCCAAACCGACACAGGUGGUCAGGUAGAGAAUACCAAGGCGCUUGAGAGAACUCGGGUGAAGGAACUAGGCAAAAUGGUGCCGUAACUUCGGGAGAAGGCACGCUGAUAUGUAGGUGAAGCGACUUGCUCGUGGAGCUGAAAUCAGUCGAAGAUACCAGCUGGCUGCAACUGUUUAUUAAAAACACAGCACUGUGCAAACACGAAAGUGGACGUAUACGGUGUGACGCCUGCCCGGUGCCGGAAGGUUAAUUGAUGGGGUCAGCGCAAGCGAAGCUCUUGAUCGAAGCCCCGGUAAACGGCGGCCGUAACUAUAACGGUCCUAAGGUAGCGAAAUUCCUUGUCGGGUAAGUUCCGACCUGCACGAAUGGCGUAAUGAUGGCCAGGCUGUCUCCACCCGAGACUCAGUGAAAUUGAACUCGCUGUGAAGAUGCAGUGUACCCGCGGCAAGACGGAAAGACCCCGUGAACCUUUACUAUAGCUUGACACUGAACAUUGAGCCUUGAUGUGUAGGAUAGGUGGGAGGCUUUGAAGUGUGGACGCCAGUCUGCAUGGAGCCGACCUUGAAAUACCACCCUUUAAUGUUUGAUGUUCUAACGUUGACCCGUAAUCCGGGUUGCGGACAGUGUCUGGUGGGUAGUUUGACUGGGGCGGUCUCCUCCUAAAGAGUAACGGAGGAGCACGAAGGUUGGCUAAUCCUGGUCGGACAUCAGGAGGUUAGUGCAAUGGCAUAAGCCAGCUUGACUGCGAGCGUGACGG
This 1811-nucleotide ribosomal RNA is filed under the name Escherichia coli. RNAcentral describes it as "bacterial LSU rRNA". It matches the Rfam family "Bacterial large subunit ribosomal RNA", at positions 591 to 2387 of the family's 2925-position model. The record is from RNAcentral. Lineage: Bacteria; Pseudomonadati; Pseudomonadota; Gammaproteobacteria; Enterobacterales; Enterobacteriaceae.